GCUAAGGGGGCGGGUGUUCAGUUUGGGAGGCAUCCGCAUUGGGCCAUGAUGAGUGAGAAGUCACGUGAUCACAGGUGAAUGCCCAUACUAACUACCCAAAGCAAUCUCUAGAUUCGGUGCGGUCCCUAUCAAAAUCCCACAGCGCUUUUCACAGAAAUACAACAAACAGUUCUAAAAUCUGCAUGCCGUCACCACGACACAGAGCAGCCCUAGCAAUCUGGGGAAGGAACAACGCCUUGGCAUCACCUACCUGACUGUAAGUAUUUCACAAAGCUAUAGUGCUCAAAACAGGAUGGCCUUGGUGAAACACACGUAGGUCCAUGGAACAGAGCAGAAAUAAGCCCCGGCACAUAUGGGCAAUUAACUUAUGACAAAGGAGGGGCACCUGGGUGGCUCAGUCGGUUAAGCCUCUGAUUUCAGCUCAGGUCAGAUCUCACGUUCGUGGGUUCGAGCCCUGCAUCAGGCUCUGUGCUGACAGCUAGCUCAGAGCUUGGAGCCUGCUUCGGAGUCUGUGUCUCCCUCUCUUUCUACCCCUUUCCUGCUUGCACUCUGUCUCUCUCUCUCUCUCAAAAAUAAAUAAACAUUAAAAAAGUUGGACGCUUAGCCGUAUGAGCCACCAGGCACCCCUGCUUUAGCUGCCUUGUAAUUAAAUCACUGCGUGUCUGUUGAGGACUAAUUCUGUGCUGGUGUGUGGCAGUUUCAGGGGCUGCAAAGAUAAGCGAGACACGAAGGAGGGGGAGACACAUGGGCACACAGCGUCAGAAAAGUUCUUUGCCAGCGUGAGGACUUACUGGUAUUAGAUGUUAUUCUGAGAAAGUGGAGGAGGUCAGCUUCGGGCAGGGGCCACCGCAGCGGGUGUUUCCAGGCUGGGAAGAGGAGGACGGGGGGAGCCCCGUGGGGAGAAACGUGAGGCAGAAGGCAUCAUGGGGUUUCAGGAGCCGGCUGUCAAGCCUAAAUUCCUGGAAACGGACUUUGGAACCGCCCAGAACACGGAAGAAAAACGAUCUUGGGGGAUACAUAUGGGUCAGUAGAGACCCAAGUAGAGAGGGUGAACCGGGGCCCUGACCUCACUCGUUGCCGGCCUCGGACCUCGGCCACUGCUAGGAAGGCUCCUUUUCAAAGCAACUGCUUGUU
Molecule: long non-coding RNA, 1134 nt
Filed under: Suricata suricatta (meerkat)
Lineage: Eukaryota; Metazoa; Chordata; Mammalia; Carnivora; Herpestidae
Description: lncRNA (ENSSSUG00005012193.1)
Source: RNAcentral